UAGGGAAUCUUCCACAAUGGACGCAAGUCUGAUGGAGCAACGCCGCGUGAGUGAAGAAGGUUUUCGGAUCGUAAAGCUUUGUUGUUGGUGAAGAAGGAUAGAGGCAGUAACUGGUCUUUAUUUGACGGUAAUCAACCAGAAAGUCACGGCUAACUACGUGCCAGCAGCCGCGGUAAUACGUAGGUGGCAAGCGUUGUCCGGAUGUAUUGGGCGUAAAGCGAGCGCAGGCGGAAUGAUAAGUCUGAUGUGAAAGCCCACGGCUCAACCGUGGAACUGCAUCGGAAACUGUCAUUCUUGAGUGCAGAAGAGGAGAGUGGAAUUCCAUGGGUAGCGGUGGAAUGCGUAGAUAUAUGGAAGAACACCAGUGGCGAAGGCGGCUCUCUGGUCUGCAACUGACGCUGAGGCUCGAAAGCAUGGGUAGCGAACAGG
RNAcentral lists this ribosomal RNA (429 nucleotides) under bacterium. Its description in RNAcentral is "partial 16S ribosomal RNA". It matches the Rfam family "Bacterial small subunit ribosomal RNA", at positions 355 to 776 of the family's 1533-position model. The record is from RNAcentral.